RNAcentral lists this long non-coding RNA (422 nucleotides) under Coccomyxa subellipsoidea. RNAcentral's name for it is "long non-coding RNA (CSUB_LNC000575)". The record is from RNAcentral. Lineage: Eukaryota; Viridiplantae; Chlorophyta; Trebouxiophyceae; Coccomyxaceae.
CCGAUCCUGGUUAUGUUGAGAUAGCCCCAGACCAUCACGUCAAUUGCCCAGCAAUUUGACGAACGUGCAGCUUUGCUCCGGCUAAAAUGACCACACCAGGCUACACUGAACUAGCUGAAGGGCCUUGACACCGGAAGUAUGAGAGAGAAGGUGCAAACAUAUAUGAGAUGCUGCCAACAAUCGUUUUGACCGUCCUCCCUUCCCUGAGGGUUGCAGAAUCAGAUCAGCUGAGCUUGGCAGCCCAACGAUCGACUAUCCCAUACCGUCGAAAGAACAGAAGCGUGGCCCAAAAUUUUCAUCCUUGAGCUACCAGAACACCCUUUUCGCACCUGCAGAAAGUUGCCCUACUACAAUGCAACAAGCAAUUAUGCAGCAGAGGUUUGGCAAAAGCACCUUAUGCCCAUGCAGCUACCAUGUAAAGA